GUUUUCUGUAUCCCCUUUCCUUUAGUUUGUGUGUGAAUUACUCUUUUGUUAUGUUUCUAGGUUUUAAGUUGGCAAUGUAAUUCACUUGUGUUCAGUCGUUGCUUAAAAUGAAGCAUUUGAGAAGGUUCAAGGCUGUGAGAGGAGGCUGGAGUCUGAAGUGAGAUAGCUAGCAUGAAAUUCUUGGCCAAUUUGACUAGGGGAUUGUUAAGAGCAGGGAUGUCCAACACACUGCACUAUUAAUUAGUUAAGAUCAUCUAUUCGAAAGUUCAGCUGUGUAGUGACUCUCCUCUGAGACUCUCAAAUCCUCAGUAAAGGUCUCCGCACAUAAUUGACUUGUGCAUUGGUAUUUUGGAGAAUGCAGGGAAAGGGUGUUGUCCAUGGUUAGGAUGUCAGAGGACAGACAGAAGAAAAGACAUUUGAAUGAAAGACCAUCUUGGGGGAGGAAAAGUUCUGCAGGAAGAGGAGAUGCGAGAGAGAAGAAAUCAUGGGAACAUAGUCUUUGGAAACUCACCAACGUGUUGAGGACUGAGCACUGAACUUCGCCCAGCAAUGGAGACAGAAGAUGGAAGAAACGUUGUUAAAAUAUUAAGCGGACCUGCUGACUUCAUAGAGACACCUUGGUUACCAGUGUGAUGCUGAAUAGGAAUGAGAGCCUCACUUCUGAUCUUCGAGGAAAAUCGUUUCGUCUUUCACCUUUAAUAAAGUUUCCAUUGUA
Molecule: non-coding RNA, 715 nt
Organism: Macaca mulatta (Rhesus monkey)
Lineage: Eukaryota; Metazoa; Chordata; Mammalia; Primates; Cercopithecidae
Source: RefSeq, a predicted model, not a curated record